This 379-nucleotide ribosomal RNA is filed under the name uncultured bacterium. RNAcentral describes it as "bacterial SSU rRNA". It matches the Rfam family "Bacterial small subunit ribosomal RNA", at positions 361 to 737 of the family's 1533-position model. The record is from RNAcentral.
AUAUUGGUCACUGGGUGCAAGCCUGAACCAGCCAUCCCGCGUGAAGGACGACGGCCCUAUGGGUUGUAAACUUCUUUUGUAUAGGGAUAAACCUACCCUCGUGAGGGUAGCUGAAGGUACUAUACGAAUAAGCACCGGCUACCUCCGUGCCAGCAGCCGCGGUAGUACGGAGGGUGCAAGCGUUAUCCGGCGUUAUUGGGUUUAAAGGGUCCGUAGGCGGACUUAUAAGUCAGUGGUGAAAGCCUGUCGCUUAACGAUAGAACUGACAUUGCUACUGUAAGUCUUGAGUAUAUUUGAGGUAGCUGGAAGAAGUAGUGUAGCGGUGAAAUGCAUAGAUAUUACUUAGAACACCAAUUGCGAAGGCAGGUUACCAAGAUAU